AGUGAACGCUGGCGGUAGGCCUAACACAUGCAAGUCGAACGGCAGCACAGUGAGAGCUUGCUCUUACGGGUGGCGAGUGGCGGACGGGUGAGGAAUACAUCGGCAUCUACUUUUUCGUGGGGGAUAACGUAGGGAAACUUACGCUAAUACCGCAUACGACCUACGUGUGAAAGCAGGGGAUCUUCGGACCUUGCGCGAUUGAAGGAGCCGAUGUCGGAUUAGCUAGUUGGCGGGGUAAAGGCCCACCAAGGCGACGAUCCGUAGCUGGUCUGAGAGGAUGAUCAGCCACACUGGAACUGAGACACGGUCCAGACUCCUACGGGAGGCAGCAGUGGGGAAUAUUGGACAAUGGGCGAAAGCCUGAUCCAGCCAUACCGCGUGGGUGAAGAAGGCCUUCGGGUUGUAAAGCCCUUUUGUUGGGAAAGAAAAGCAGCAGGUUAAUACCCCGCUGUUUUGACGGUACCCAAAGAAUAAGCACCGGCUAACUUCGUG
Molecule: ribosomal RNA, 492 nt
Filed under: uncultured bacterium
Lineage: Bacteria
Description: partial 16S ribosomal RNA
Rfam family: Bacterial small subunit ribosomal RNA
Source: RNAcentral